GAAAUCUCGAUACAGGAGGAAGAGGGGAAACGCAGCGAAAGGUUGAAAGGAUAUCUAAGCAAAUCCAGCAGAAGAGGAAAAGGCUGAAAGGGGAGAUCGUACGCUAGGGAUGUGUGCGCGUGCCUCAGGAAAAUCACUGGGUCUCGAUAACCAGGAAGCGGGAAUAUAGACCUGCACCCCGAGACUCCACCGGGUGCUGAGAAUGGGAGGCGAGGAAGAGUAAAGUGUUCCCAGCAUCGCGCACCACCACCGCCACGCUAUCUGUGUCUAUCGUAUUGGCACUCACCACAUGGCUGCCAACUCAUCAAUCACUCGGUGGAAGGAGACUGGUCAAGGAACGUCAGAGGAUUGGUGGUAAUCGUGGGAGAAAAGGGGCGGGGCGAGGUGGAGGCACAGGAAUGUAGGCAGAAGACGGAGGGCAGGAAUGGGCGGCGGAGUGAUCGUGGUGGUGUCCAUUGUGGCGGCGCCUAGACGGUCGUCCUGCAUCACCAACACACUCUCAGGUGGCAUCGGUGUGCCGCUGCUGCAGGGCCGACAGGUCUUCCCGCGCCUCACGCAGCUGCCGGGCGACGCGCUUGUUCUGCUCCACCGCCUGAGACUCCUUGAGGCGUGCUGAGUCACAGUCGCCAGUCACUCGCUCCAGCUGGUCCUUUAGUCUACUGAUCUGACUCUGCAAGGCUCCAGUUUUGACUCCACCUCCUUGAUCUUCAUCUCAAGGCGCCGCUGAGUGUGGAUGUUGGCUGUCUCGCCCUCCAGCACCUCCACCUUGCUUGACAGCUCCAGGAGGCGCUCGUGGAGCACCUGACGAAGGAGGGGAACAAGGCUCGGCAAUCUGCUGGUUCUGCUCCGAGAGGGUGAUCUGGUCCACUGACAACUGAGACACCACUGACUUGUACUUCUUCAUGACCUCAGCGACCUCCUCCUCACUCUCCUCCAGCUGGAAGCCCUGUCCUUGCUGACCCGGGCACACCUGUCCUCGGCCUCCUUCCUGGAACGCUGCGCCUCCUCCAACUGGCUGGUCAUAUCAGACAGGUCAGCCUCAGCACACUGCCGGGCCUUGAUGGCAGCGGUCUUGGCAAACUCUGCAUCUUCAAGCUGUAAGGAAAUGAAGAAGGUCAACCUCCUCAACCAGGGAAAGGAGACGAUGCUGCCAAAGCCACGCGUUCGACUGUCAACACAUAUGCGACAAAAAAUCUGUGCCACACUCCUUUCAUGCCUGGGAUCUGUCAGCAACCCACUUAGAAACUCUUGUCGCAUUCAAUAAGUACACCUACGGACACUG
Long non-coding RNA from Eriocheir sinensis (Chinese mitten crab), 1282 nucleotides. RefSeq lists it as uncharacterized. The record is from RefSeq and is a predicted model, not a curated record. The transcript has 11 exons. Lineage: Eukaryota; Metazoa; Arthropoda; Malacostraca; Decapoda; Varunidae.